AUUGAACGCUGGCGGCAGGCCUAGCACAUGCAAGUCGAGCGGAUGAAGGGAGCUUGCUCCUGGAUUCAGCGGCGGGCGGGUGAGUAAUGCCUAGGAAUCUGCCUGGUAGUGGGGGAUAACGUCCGGAAACGGGCGCUAAUACCGCAUACGUCCUGAGGGAGAAAGUGGGGGAUCUUCGGACCUCACGCUAUCAGAUGAGCCUAGGUCGGAUUAGCUAGUUGGUGGGGUAAAGGCCUACCAAGGCGACGAUCUGUAACUGGUCUGAGAGGAUGAUCAGUCACACUGGAACUGAGACACGGUCCAGACUCCUACGGGAGGCAGCAGUGGGGAAUAUUGGACAAUGGGCGAAAGCCUGAUCCAGCCAUGCCGCGUGUGUGAAGAAGGUCUUCGGAUUGUAAAGCACUUUAAGUUGGGAGGAAGGGCAGUAAGUUAAUACCUUGCUGUUUUGACGUUACCAACAGAAUAAGCACCGGCUAACUUCGUG
This 484-nucleotide ribosomal RNA is filed under the name uncultured bacterium. RNAcentral's name for it is "partial 16S ribosomal RNA". It matches the Rfam family "Bacterial small subunit ribosomal RNA", at positions 30 to 507 of the family's 1533-position model. The record is from RNAcentral.